CCACAUCAGCCACGCCCACCCGCCGAUUGGUCCCGCCUACGUCAAUCACGCCUACCCGAGACCUAACCCCAACCCCGCCCAUCCUCUAUAGGCCCCGCCCCAUCAACAGCGGCGCUCAGCCUAAACUCUAGCGUCCUACAACCCCUGGUCAAGCCUCCCACUCCAGCCCAGUCCCUGGUCAAGCCUCACACUCCAGCCCAGAUUCCACUCUGCCCAGACUGACCAGUGUCUCUGCACUGUUUUUCUUCUACCUCAUCCCCAGUCCUAAUAACCCAAUCAUUGCUAAGUCCCAACUUUGUCCUGAAUCCUAUACCUGUUUUUUCUCUUCCUCUUUCCCACUCCUCUGCCACAGAUCCUCCCAAAUUCCUCCCUUGCCUUCCUGUCUCUGCAGCUUGUCAGAUGCCAAAUACAAAAGGAACUGCUGCUAAAAUAACCGUUUAAUUAUAUAAGUAUUAUAAGUAUUUAUUUGAUUUAGCCAUGCCAUAAUGAUAAAUAAUGGUGAUUCUAGAAUUCUGACUCCUCCAGUAAUGCUAACAAUUAGGCUUCUCAGAGAGUUAUUACGGAAUUUGAGUGAGAGUAUGCAAAAUUGCUUGGAAUAUGGAACUAUUACCCUAACAAAUUAUUAUUAUUGUUAAAAAAUAGUUCCAUCUCUAUUGAAGGAUAUGGAAAACGAAAACCAAGACAGUGUAACCUAAGAGGAGGGAGGGAGGAAGGAAGAAAGUGAAAUAUUCAUCUCUUCCCAGUGACAAUGGGUCCUGAAGGGAGGAGGCGGAUACUGAGUGAUGGGCCCUAGACUUUCACCCUUUCCUAUUGCCAAUGAACCCUGGAAGGAGAAAAGAAAAUAGUGAAGCUCUGGGUAACAAUGGAUCCCAGGAAAGAAGAUAUGCAAUGAACACUGGGCUUUGAGCUUUCAUCCCUUCCCAAUAACAAUGAGUUAUGGACUUUUUAUAACUUUUUUCCUGAUUGCCCAAACUGACACAUUCUGCUGCAGUCUCCAAUGAUUAAGCCACCCUCAUUGUAAACUAUAAAACACAGACCCCUUCUGUAACCAGGGGGCCAUUUUCUACCCAGAAAAUGAGCUCCUCUGAUGACUGACUCUGCUGCUGAAUAAAAGACAUAGCUGAUCCA
This 1128-nucleotide long non-coding RNA is filed under the name Marmota monax (woodchuck). The record is from RNAcentral. Lineage: Eukaryota; Metazoa; Chordata; Mammalia; Rodentia; Sciuridae.